This 221-nucleotide long non-coding RNA is filed under the name Homo sapiens (human). RNAcentral describes it as "long intergenic non-protein coding RNA 2516". Lineage: Eukaryota; Metazoa; Chordata; Mammalia; Primates; Hominidae. The record is from RNAcentral.
AUUGCUACAUCAUGCAGCUAGCCUGGGCUCUGCUUUGCUUGUGUCAGUCAGCUCUGAAGAAGUCUCUGUCCUGUAAUUUAGACUGUAUGCCAUUAAGUGGGAUUAGUUCAGGGAAAUUCACAGGAAUAACAAAAGACAGAAAACAUGAGGAUGAUGGGCCCCACCCCAGGACGGAAAAUGUGUGGAAACAUCAAGGGAAUAAAAGUGUGUCAGGUAACAGA